RNAcentral lists this ribosomal RNA (702 nucleotides) under uncultured Bacteroidota bacterium. RNAcentral describes it as "bacterial SSU rRNA". It matches the Rfam family "Bacterial small subunit ribosomal RNA", at positions 215 to 917 of the family's 1533-position model. Lineage: Bacteria; Pseudomonadati; Bacteroidota. The record is from RNAcentral.
CCGGUAAAGGAUGGGGAUGCGUUCCAUUAGGUUGUUGGUGAGGUAACGGCUCACCAAGCCUUCGAUGGAUAGGGGUUCUGAGAGGAAGGUCCCCCACAUUGGAACUGAGACACGGUCCAAACUCCUACGGGAGGCAGCAGUGAGGAAUAUUGGUCAAUGGGCGCAGGCCUGAACCAGCCAAGUAGCGUGAAGGAUGACUGCCCUAUGGGUUGUAAACUUCUUUUAUAUGGGAAUAAAGUUUUCCACGUGUGGAAUUUUGUAUGUACCAUAUGAAUAAGGAUCGGCUAACUCCAUGCCAGCAGCCGCGGUAAUACGGAGGAUCCGAGCGUUAUCCGGAUUUAUUGGGUUUAAAGGGAGCGUAGGUGGACAGUUAAGUCAGUUGUGAAAGUUUGCGGCUCAACCGUAAAAUUGCAGUUGAUACUGGCUGUCUUGAGUACAGUAGAGGUGGGCGGAAUUCGUGGUGUAGCGGUGAAAUGCUUAGAUAUCACGAAGAACUCCGAUUGCGAAGGCAGCUCACUGGACUGCAACUGACACUGAUGCUCGAAAGUGUGGGCAUCAAACAGGAUUAGAUACCCUGGUAGUCCACACAGUAAACGAUGAAUACUCGCUGUUUGCGAUAUACAGUAAGCGGCCAAGCGAAAGCAUUAAGUAUUCCACCUGGGGAGUACGCCGGCAACGGUGCAACUCAAAUGAAUUGACGGA